RNAcentral lists this transfer RNA (71 nucleotides) under Camelus bactrianus (Bactrian camel). It matches the Rfam family "tRNA". Rfam says of the family: Transfer RNA (tRNA) molecules are approximately 80 nucleotides in length. Their secondary structure includes four short double-helical elements and three loops (D, anti-codon, and T loops). Further hydrogen bonds mediate the characteristic L-shaped molecular structure. tRNAs have two regions of fundamental functional importance: the anti-codon, which is responsible for specific mRNA codon recognition, and the 3' end, to which the tRNAs corresponding amino acid is attached (by aminoacyl-tRNA synthetases). tRNAs cope with the degeneracy of the genetic code in two manners: having more than one tRNA (with a specific anti-codon) for a particular amino acid; and 'wobble' base-pairing, i.e. permitting non-standard base-pairing at the 3rd anti-codon position. Lineage: Eukaryota; Metazoa; Chordata; Mammalia; Artiodactyla; Camelidae. The record is from Rfam by way of RNAcentral. RNAcentral also lists the same sequence under 3 other names.
GAGGAUAUAGCUCAGUGGUAGAGUUCACGCUUAGCAUGCAUGAGGUCCUGGGUUCAAUCCCCAGAACCUCC